AGCCUCUUGGUCCUCACCACGGGCUGUGUUCUUACACUGACUGCACAGAAAGAGGAAGCAGAGUAAAUCCACCCAUAUACACCCCAGCCCAGGUGCUCUGCCUGGUCUAGGUUGUGAAUGGGGGGGACAUGU
Molecule: small nucleolar RNA, 132 nt
Organism: Suricata suricatta (meerkat)
Lineage: Eukaryota; Metazoa; Chordata; Mammalia; Carnivora; Herpestidae
Source: Ensembl